Molecule: ribosomal RNA, 56 nt
Filed under: uncultured Glomus
Lineage: Eukaryota; Fungi; Glomeromycota; Glomeromycetes; Glomerales; Glomeraceae
Description: partial 28S ribosomal RNA
Source: RNAcentral
GACCUCAAAUCGGGUAAGAAUACCCGCUGAACUUAAGCAUAUCAAUAAGCGGAGGA